GUGCCAGCCGCCGCGGUAAUACCGGCAGCCCGAGUGAUGGCCGAUCUUAUUGGGCCUAAAGCGUCCGUAGCUGGUUGCGCAAGUCCAUCGGGAAAUCCACUCGCUCAACGAGUGGCCGUCCGGUGGAAACUCCACACCUUGGGACCGGAAGGCUCGAAGGGUACGGCCGGGGUAGGAGUGAAAUCCUGUAAUCCCGUCCGGACCACCGAUGGCGAAAGCACUUCGAGAAAACGGAUUCGACAGUGAGGGACGAAAGCUAAGAUCGCGAACCGGAUUAGAAACCCCUGUAGUCC
RNAcentral lists this ribosomal RNA (293 nucleotides) under uncultured bacterium. RNAcentral describes it as "partial 16S ribosomal RNA". It matches the Rfam family "Archaeal small subunit ribosomal RNA", at positions 455 to 747 of the family's 1478-position model. The record is from RNAcentral.